This 253-nucleotide ribosomal RNA is filed under the name uncultured bacterium. RNAcentral's name for it is "partial 16S ribosomal RNA". It matches the Rfam family "Bacterial small subunit ribosomal RNA", at positions 524 to 776 of the family's 1533-position model. The record is from RNAcentral.
UACGUAGGGUGCAAGCGUUGUUCGGAAUUAUUGGGCGUAAAGAGCUCGUAGGCGGUUUGUCGCGUCUGCUGUGAAAUCCCGAGGCUCAACCUCGGGCCUGCAGUGGGUACGGGCAGACUAGAGUGCGGUAGGGGAGAUUGGAAUUCCUGGUGUAGCGGUGGAAUGCGCAGAUAUCAGGAGGAACACCAAUGGCGAAGGCAGAUCUCUGGGCCGUUACUGACGCUGAGGAGCGAAAGCAUGGGGAGCGAACAGG